GGCGAGGCGGUAGCGCUAUCUUGGACAGGCGGCCGCCUCGCCAAGAUAGCGCUGCGGGAAACCCUGACGUCUAUGGUGACAAGGACCUCGCUGCAGCAAACAGAAAGGGGCGGGGACGGACCACUGUCAGUCCCAUACCUCAUUUGGUAAUGGGACUAUUGCACUCCGGAAAUAAAGGGGUCGCUGUUUUCAUAAUCACUAGUACCUUAAGAAGCGGAGUAGAGAGUUCAACUGAAAGAAAUUUGAGAGGUUCUUCCACUGAUGUUCGGCACAUUAUCCCCAAUGCAAAACCCACAAAGUCAGCAAAAGGUAUUUUUACCUUCUUAAAACUUUUUUUCAUAUAGUAAAUCAUUCUUUAGAUUAGGUUGAAAAUAUAAUUAACAGCUGUAGACAAGUGAAAUUCGUAAUUCGUACAGGGAAGGCUAAUUUUAGCAUGUAGCAUAAUUAUUUCCCUGCAGGGCACCAUUAGAUGAAAAUAGAAACGUAGAUAACGUGUAUAUUUGAGAAAUGUAUUUUAUAUUCAAACUUUGGUUGUUAUUUGAAUCAUACAGAUCCACGUAUCUAUUUGCAACAUAUUGCUGUCCCCUUUGCUCAUACAGUGCGGAUGAGUCGUGCAAGGUACAGAACCAUAUAGCAAAAGCUGCUAUGGCUCAACAUAACGGUGCAAAGGAUAUCGCCAAUCUUACAGAUGCCUUUGAAUGGACUUGAAGCUGUUCUCCAGGAGGUGGUACUAGCACAGGAAGACAAAGCUUACCUCACCCUGGCAUGCCAAGACACACCCUGGCAUGCCAUGCAAGUGCUUUGAAGCCAUUGUGUCUGACCCAGUUUCCGGGAAGAAGACUCAAUUUGCUUGGCUGGAUGGUGAGAUCAACUGGGGUAAAUUUUCAGAGUCAUUCAAGGCAGAAAAUCGGAUUCAUUUUGUGGUUGAAACGUGUUCUUCCUGCAACCAGCAAUAUAAAGACUGUGUGAGCUUCACCGGAAAUGGAAGAUGAGGAGAGUACACUCGUUGCUACUCUGAUGGCAUACCUGGACACUGCCCUGAAUGUCAAUACUGUAUGCAAGGAGAAUAUUAGUUGUUUUCCAGUCUUUUACACAUUUCAGUUGUCAUAUAUUGUUGUUCGUUUUCUUUGUGACAUGCCAUUAUAAAUAAUUUCUGCUAAAGCACACUUGCCUUUUCACUUGUGCAGUCAUUCUUUUUCAUAAUGUGUUCUUUCAAUAUUAUGUUGUUACAUUAUUACCAUUAUUUGGGUUUCAUAGAAAUGUUGUUGUUUCCAGACAAAUUUACAUUGUGGUUGUAAUAUCUUGACGAGAGUAGAACCAAUAAAGUUGUUGUAAAUAUAUUGUAACAGCGUUGUUUAACAAUUGGAUAACCUUGUUUUAAAAAUUUGAAAUACAAGCAAAGUUAAUAACUUUAAAUACAACGUUUCUUAUUCUUUUUGAACAAUGACUGGAAUCAAUACACAUUUUCUUUACAAACCUGA
Molecule: long non-coding RNA, 1481 nt
Organism: Fundulus heteroclitus (mummichog)
Lineage: Eukaryota; Metazoa; Chordata; Actinopteri; Cyprinodontiformes; Fundulidae
Exons: 4
Source: RefSeq, a predicted model, not a curated record